GCCCAGGCGAGGUUCAGAGCGUCCAUGGCGACGACGAGCUUGAGCACGGAGGUCAGCACGAACUGGUUCACCUCGUGGCCCUCCAGCCACAGCCUCCGGAACAGCGCCGCAUGCACGGAGUUAUGGAUUCACAGGUUUCAAAUAGUUCAGCUUUCUCUCCACUUUUCCCUCGUAUUAAAACUAUUUUUAUGAUCUAUAGCAAAGGGACUAACUUUUAACUGAUCCCAAAGAUGCAAAGAAGCUAAUGGCUGAUAAUAUACUCGAGCAGGUUCUUUAAAUUAGGAACUAAGUGACUACUAAGUGCUCAGCCUCUGCAACUAAGUGACUACUUGAACUGAAUAGAAGGAACUACAGAAUUUUAACAUACCCUCAACAUCAUCGUCAUCUUUUUCAUCCUCAUCCACAUCAUCGUCUUCUUCAUCGUAGUCGUCAUCAUCCUCGAGGAUAGGCUCAUCUUCCUGAGAAUAUGCAUUCCAAAUACCAUAUUACUUGAUCAUCAUACGUAUUAAACACUAAACAGCGCUGCCUCGAAACAGGGUAUAUGCAGAGGAGGGGAAACAGAGUUGGCCAUAUGCAGAAAUGAAAAAAGGGUAAACAAUCUACUCACGGUAUUAUCUUCCCAGCAUGAAGAUCCAGUGCAUACUAAGCAGCAUCAGCAC
Molecule: long non-coding RNA, 659 nt
Filed under: Hordeum vulgare
Lineage: Eukaryota; Viridiplantae; Streptophyta; Magnoliopsida; Poales; Poaceae
Description: long non-coding RNA (HVUL_LNC015969)
Source: RNAcentral